This 1805-nucleotide long non-coding RNA is filed under the name Lytechinus variegatus (green sea urchin). RNAcentral's name for it is "uncharacterized LOC121413946". Lineage: Eukaryota; Metazoa; Echinodermata; Echinoidea; Temnopleuroida; Toxopneustidae. The record is from RNAcentral.
GUUUUUAUAUCAAAUGUGCAAAUCAUGAAAUCUCACAUCCGUGGUUUAUUAAAAAUAACAAACAAACAAAAAGAACAAUUUGGGCAUCCGAGUACAAAGUAUUGAAAUAAUAAAAUCAUACAAAGAAUAUAUUGCACAACCAUUAUUUUAAUACAUUAUUUAAUCAUACAUGCUACAGGCAUGUUGUCUUGCUAUAGGCAGGGAUUGUUAUUGGAUACAUGGUGGAAUAGAGAAUUGUGGGGGCGGGACAGUUGGCAUGGUACAACUUGUAUCCCCCCCAAAAAAAAAACUUCCACAGACCAUUCCACAGAGAGUACACUUGAAUAGAGUCCCACUUGUGUAUGCAGCAAAAGGUCAAUUACAAGGCAGUAUACUUGCCUUCGUCGGGGGGGGGGGGGGGGGGUUGAGGACAGCAUCAUAAAAAUGUCCAGGAAAUGUGUGGACUGCCCCGUAUACUUAUCAAUAAUACACCAUGGUAAUGAUUAUGCAAGGUACCAAUGCAUGGCAAAGUAAAUACUAUAAUACUAGUAAUAAUACCAUAAUGGUAAAAAACCUUUUAUGCGAAUGGGCCCAAGUGUGCAUUGGUUUUAAAGUACGUGUAUAGCAAGUCAUACCUAACUUUUUGUGAAAAAGUCACCAUGAGGUUUCGAUUACAAAUUAUUUUGACAAGUUACCCCCCCCCCCCACCAAAAAAAAUAUAAAAUGACUACGCAGCACCAUGUGUUUGACAAUAAACACCCCAACUCAUAUUGUUAUCAAUAACAGGUGGAAUAGGUUGGGUAAUCAUCAAUAAAAAUGCAGUGUGCAAAAAUGCAAUGCAUCUGAUUCUCUGUGUAGGGGUGGGAUUGGGCUUAUACUCACACAAAAAAUAUAAACAUGAUUAUAAAUAAUUAAGCAAAACUACUAAACAUGUAAGAUGGAAGUUGUGACCAAUAAUACUUAAAACCUGUUGUACCUUAAAGAUUACACAAAAAACUGAAGAAGAAAAAUUGUGAGAGCACAACAUAAUUCAGGUCAGAAAGAGAGAAGUAGAAUUUACUAAUCAUUAUUUCAAUAUAGCACUGAAUGACCAAAACAUCACAAACAAAAGUGUAAGUCAUGAAAUUUCAGCACAAUUAUUAGAUUAAUAUUGGCACUUCAGCACGGCACUACACAGUAUUCAGAUUUAAAGAUUUGUCAAAUGCCUAGGACACUAUACAACCUGAAUACUUGUGUAACCUUGAUUCACAAAAUUCAACACAUAACUGGACCAUGAAUUAAAGUUUGUAACACUGUUUAUAAAGAGGAUGUGCUUUUAUUGUUCCAAUGUUCAGGGCAGUCAAACAACCUUCAUUGAAAUUUACCUGAAGUUAUAGUCCACCUUUUGUCACCCCUGCCUUUUUGUACCUCAAAGGUCAAUAGAAACCUUUGAUAGACUGCACCAGGAUAUAAUUCCUCCUUCUCUUCCAACCUACUGGGUUUGUAAACCAUUAACCUCUGGCUUUACAAUAUGAUUCUUGUCAAAGGCCUCAGUGUAUUCUAAAUUAGUGAAAACCAAAACCAUUCUAUCAAAACUUUGUUUAUACCAAAUGUGUUAUGUUUACAUUACCAUGCUAUUUCAGUUAUUUCAUAACUUGUUAGAAUUGUGCCAACUAUUCUUAGAGAUUGGAGCCACCAACAUGCAGCUAUCAAGCUAUCCAUAUAUCGACCACAGUUUAUUUAUAUAAACCCAAUUUCAGAAUAUGGUCAUGAAAUUUAACAUAUAUAGCUCAAAUUUAUGGUCAUUAACUUGUAUCGCUAAUUGGUUGUCUUUCAAAAUCAGUAAA